UUCAAGAGUUCUCUAAUGAGUAUCAUUGAGAGUGAGAAACUCUUAUUGAUACUGUCUUGUACAAACAUACACUCCUGUUGAUUCAGGUAUUCUCUUAGUUCAGUCCAAGUUAAGAUUUGUAACUGUUUAUCUACAUUAUAUAAAAUUGCUUUGUUUUGUAAGUUCUUUACAAGUUUGUUGCAGCUUAGCCUACCAAAUGAAUCCAAGUGCACCAUUGUAGAUAUUUUUUUAAAAGCAGGAUUGAUGAACAACUAAACAAACAAUAUUGUGGAGAUACAUGUGAAUUAUAAUGGAGAUGCCACCAGAUAUUCAAUGCAUUGGAGAGCAGCUCUACUACCAAAGUGGAGAUGUGGAUCACUGGAUGUGGUAUGAGAUAUCUGCAGGAUUGAUGAACAACUAAACAAACAAUAUUGUGGAGAUACAUGUGAAUUAUAAUGGAGAUGCCACCAGCUAUUCAAUGCAUUGGAGAGCAGCUCUACUAACAAAUUGGAGAUGUGGAUCACUGGAUGUGGUAUGAGAUAUCUGUUAUUUAUAUUUUCAGUAGUCUAGACAGGUUAGAAUUCUCUAACACUUCCCUAUUCUAACACAGAUAUCAAGCUAGGGCCGGGAUGUUUAUGGUGGUUACUAUUAUGACACAGUUCAUCCCGACCCCUUCGGCAGUGCCUUGUUCUAUCCGGUUGGUUCUGAGUCCAAUGGAUGCUUUCAAGUUAGAGUCAACUGACCUGCAGAUCGCAUUUCCGCGUGCCAACAACUGGACGAACAUGUGCUACUGUUAGAUUGUGGUUUAUGGAUGGCUGUGGAGUAAGAAAAUCACCUUGAAUAGGGUUUGAGUUGUCAGGGUCCCUGUAGGAUAUUUGCAGUUGUCAGUCGACUAUUACAUUUCUGAUCAGUGCCCUUUGUGGUGGUGCCACAGCUUUUUCAUGAUGGUUGCGGGCUCAGUACAGCACUAAUUUGAUGAGCAGGUGGUACUGUUACACUGUGGCCUGGUCUGACUUGUUCUAUGAGACUGGCGAUGCAAAUAUUAGAUUGUAGUGCCUUCAGCAAACUUAGGGAUGGGGGUGUGAGAAUUAUCUGUCUUAAGAAUUAGAAUUAAGAAAAAUACGUUUAUAUCUGAGGCUGGAGUGAUAUUAAGUAUAGUCUCUAGCCUUUGCUAGUUGGCGGAGUGAAGCCUCUAGCCUUUGCUAGUUGGCGGGGAAGGGGAAAAUAUAGCCUCUAGCCUUUGCUAGUUGGCGGGGUUAAGCCUCUAGCCUUUGCUAGUUGGCGGUGGAUGGGAAAACGAAGCCUCUAGCCUCAUCUAGAGUCUUAAAUUGCAUGCAUUUUAGUUUUAGUAUUUAGAAAAUACAAAUAUAAGUUGAGAAUUAAGAUUGAAGUAUGUGAAAUAUAGCCUCUAGCCUUUGCUAGUUGGCGGGGUUAAGCCUCUAGCCUUUGCUAGUUGGCGGGGUGAAGCCUCUAGCCUUUGCUAGUUGGCGGGGUUAAGCCUCUAGCCUUUGCUAGUUGGCGGGGUGAAGCCUCUAGCCUUUGCUAGUUGGCGGGGUGAAGCCUCUAGCCUUUGCUAGUUGGCGGGGGAUGGGAAAACGAAGCCUCUAGCCUCAUCUAGAGUCUCAAAUUGCAUGCAUUUUAGUUUUAGUAUUUAGAAAAUACAAAUAUAAGUUGAGAAUUAAGAUUGAAGUAUGUGAAAUAUAGCCUCUAGCCUUUGCUAGUUGGCGGGGUUAAGCCUCUAGCCUUUGC
This is a long non-coding RNA of Nilaparvata lugens (brown planthopper), 1728 nucleotides long. RefSeq lists it as uncharacterized. Lineage: Eukaryota; Metazoa; Arthropoda; Insecta; Hemiptera; Delphacidae. The record is from RefSeq and is a predicted model, not a curated record. The transcript is spliced from 3 exons.